This 448-nucleotide ribosomal RNA is filed under the name uncultured bacterium. RNAcentral's name for it is "bacterial SSU rRNA". It matches the Rfam family "Bacterial small subunit ribosomal RNA", at positions 330 to 795 of the family's 1533-position model. The record is from RNAcentral.
UCCAGACUCCUACGGGAGGCAGCAGUGGGGAAUAUUGCACAAUGGGGGGAACCCUGAUGCAGCGAUGCCGCGUGGAGGAAGAAGGUUUUCGGAUUGUAAACUCCUUUUAUCAGGGACGAUAAUGACGGUACCUGAAGAAAAAGCUCCAGCUAACUACGUGCCAGCAGCCGCGGUAAUACGUAGGGGGCAAGCGUUAUCCGGAUUUACUGGGUGUAAAGGGAGCGUAGACGGCGAAGAAAGUCUGAGGUGAAAGCCCGCGGCUCAACCGCGGAACUGCUUUGGAAACUUUUUUGCUGGAGUACCGGAGAGGUAAGCGGAAUUCCUAGUGUAGCGGUGAAAUGCGUAGAUAUUAGGAGGAACACCAGUGGCGAAGGCGGCUUACUGGACGGUAACUGACGUUGAGGCUCGAAAGCGUGGGGAGCAAACAGGAUUAGAUACCCCAGUAGCG